This 497-nucleotide ribosomal RNA is filed under the name uncultured bacterium. RNAcentral describes it as "partial 16S ribosomal RNA". It matches the Rfam family "Bacterial small subunit ribosomal RNA", at positions 28 to 507 of the family's 1533-position model. The record is from RNAcentral.
GACGAACGCUGGCGGCGUGCCUAAUACAUGCAAGUUGAGCGCUGAAGGUUGGUACUUGUACCGACUGGAUGAGCAGCGAACGGGUGAGUAACGCGUGGGGAAUCUGCCUUUGAGCGGGGGACAACAUUUGGAAACGAAUGCUAAUACCGCAUAAAAACUUUAAACACAAGUUUUAAGUUUGAAAGAUGCAAUUGCAUCACUCAAAGAUGAUCCCGCGUUGUAUUAGCUAGUUGGUGAGGUAAAGGCUCACCAAGGCGAUGAUACAUAGCCGACCUGAGAGGGUGAUCGGCCACAUUGGGACUGAGACACGGCCCAAACUCCUACGGGAGGCAGCAGGAGGGAAUCUUCGGCAAUGGACGAAAGUCUGAACGAGCAACGCCGCGGGAGUGAAGAAGGUUUUCGGAUCGUAAAACUCUGUUGGUAGAGAAGAACGUUGGUGAGAGUGGAAAGCUCAUCAAGUGACGGUAACUACCCAGAAAGGGACGGCUAACUACGUG